GACGAACGCUGGCGGCGUGCCUAAUACAUGCAAGUCGAGCGGACUUAAAAAGCUUGCUUUUUAAGUUAGCGGCGGACGGGUGAGUAACACGUGGGCAACCUGCCUGUAAGACUGGGAUAACUUCGGGAAACCGGAGCUAAUACCGGAUAAUCCUUUUCUACUCAUGUAGAAAAGCUGAAAGACGGUUUACGCUGUCACUUACAGAUGGGCCCGCGGCGCAUUAGCUAGUUGGUGAGGUAACGGCUCACCAAGGCGACGAUGCGUAGCCGACCUGAGAGGGUGAUCGGCCACACUGGGACUGAGACACGGCCCAGACUCCUACGGGAGGCAGCAGUAGGGAAUCUUCCGCAAUGGACGAAAGUCUGACGGAGCAACGCCGCGUGAGUGAUGAAGGUUUUCGGAUCGUAAAACUCUGUUGUUAGGGAAGAACAAGUACGAGAGUAACUGCUCGUAACUUGACGGUACCUAACCAGAAAGCCACGGCUAACUACGUG
Molecule: ribosomal RNA, 494 nt
Filed under: uncultured bacterium
Lineage: Bacteria
Description: partial 16S ribosomal RNA
Rfam family: Bacterial small subunit ribosomal RNA
Source: RNAcentral